UUUUUUUUACUGGAAAACUCACUUCAUGCC
Molecule: non-coding RNA, 30 nt
Filed under: Rattus norvegicus (Norway rat)
Lineage: Eukaryota; Metazoa; Chordata; Mammalia; Rodentia; Muridae
Source: RNAcentral